UGGAUAUUUGUCCUGACCGCUUAGCAGGACUUCGUUCCUAUCUCGUGCUCAGCGUUAUCUUCUCCGUGGCGCUCAUCUCCCUGAUAUUUUCACUGCGCCGCGGCUUCCAGCGCUCAGCCUCCAGCUCCCACGCGCACUCCACCUCGUCCAUGGCCGCCGAUCGAGUCCCUCCCCAUCUCCUACAACCGGCCGCCCUGCUCGUUCUCCCUAGCUGCGAUGUGGAGCUCGCCCUGGACGAUCGUCCUUGCCCCUCCUCUCUGAUCUGCGUGCAGGGGUUUCCCUCCCAUGGCGCCUGGUCUUCUUCCCUUGACUCCAUGCCGAGCGCCCCAGUCGAGCUCGUCCUGGCUCCAGCUUCUUCCUUGGACGGCGGAGCCCUCCCAUUCCUGCAGCAGGCCAGCGUCCCUCUCUCCAUCAUCUUCUCUGCUUGGUUCCUGGCGAGCUCCCCCUGCUCUUCUGCUCGCCCUGGCCCUGUGCCAUUUUUCCAUUCCUGCGGCAAGCACCAGUCCCUCCCCACGCCAACAUCCCUUUCCUACGGACGCUGCCCCUCUCUGGUUUCUGGUGGCCGGCCACCUCUGCUGCUCCCAUGUUUUAUGUGUGUUGAUGUGUACGAUAUGGAGUAAAAUCUCUGGAGAAUUAGGUGGAGGAGAAGGUUAAGUUCAACGCUCCUUAGGUGUUCUAUGAAGUGCUUGAACUGAAGUUCGUUGUCGUUCUGUUCACCGCGGUGAGACAUGUUAAUUAUGCGCUAUUCAUUUUCGUUGAUGUGUAUGCCUGGAUGUUUAAUUAAACGUAUUUGUAUGAUUGGAGGAGAAAUCUCUAGAUAUGAGUAGGGGAGCAAGUCUUAAUGUGGCGUCCGUCAAAUGUUCGAUGAAGUGCUCGGACUAGAACUCGUUAUCGAUGUAUGAAAUAUGAUUGUGAACAUGCUUGUAAAGUAAUUGUGUCAUGUGUUGAAGUUCAGAUUUUAGAUACAAAUUGUGUGAAUAAUGUUGGAUGAAUGUAUAGGCGUAGUGUCAAUUUAGUGGUUCUUCAUUGCGAUGUAAACUUUAGGUUUGAAAUACAAGUUCAUA
RNAcentral lists this unclassified non-coding RNA (1064 nucleotides) under Zea mays. RNAcentral's name for it is "misc RNA Zm00001eb266180". Lineage: Eukaryota; Viridiplantae; Streptophyta; Magnoliopsida; Poales; Poaceae. The record is from RNAcentral.